GGCAGCGGGACAGUUUUGCUUGGAACUCUGGGGCAGCCACGUGGCCAUACGUUCAACACUCUCAGAUGCUGUACCUGGAGCCAGCCAGAAAGUGACUUACAGCUGAAAACAGGAUUUGAAUGGCUGCUGCUCUGGAGAGGCCCCUCAGUAUAAACAUAGAGUUUCUGGGAAGCAUACAGAAGGCCAGACUGUCGGGAAAGG
Molecule: long non-coding RNA, 201 nt
Filed under: Castor canadensis (American beaver)
Lineage: Eukaryota; Metazoa; Chordata; Mammalia; Rodentia; Castoridae
Description: Maternal intergenic circadian oscillating RNA 1 (ENSCCNG00000001757.1)
Rfam family: Maternal intergenic circadian oscillating RNA 1
About the family: Maternal intergenic circadian oscillating 1 (Mico1) and Mico1 opposite strand (Mico1os) are lon non-coding RNAs. Their expression shows circadian oscillations.
Source: RNAcentral